Long non-coding RNA from Homo sapiens (human), 2056 nucleotides. The record is from Ensembl. Lineage: Eukaryota; Metazoa; Chordata; Mammalia; Primates; Hominidae.
ACUGACUUCCUUCGCACUCAGCCCACUCGCACCCGGGUGAAUAAACAGCCUUUGUUGCUCACACUUAGCCUGUUCAAGUUGUCUCUUCAAUUAGAUGCUCGCAUAACAUUUGGUGCCGAAAGCCCGGGAUAGGGGAACUCCUCCGGCAGACCUCUCCUCUAUCCUCCCGGUACCCACGUUCUCCCAUGCAAGAGACUUCCCUCGCCCUCAGGACCUCAGACCAGCUCCGCGAGCACUCCGGCCUCUGUCUAUGGAUAUGAUCUCCUCGGCUUGGCGGCUGAAGACUGACGCUGCCCGAACGUCUCGGAGGCCCCUUAGACAAUCGCGGAUGCCGAGCUUCGGGUAACUCUUAGGGUGGAGGGCUAGACAUAAAAUCUGCCAAGCUGCCAAUUUCCUGUUACCUACUCCAGAGACCCAGUGAUAUGAAGACACCCUAGCUGGACUGUCAGUUCUCGUUAAGAACCUAACCCCUCAAACUCUACAACCUCUGUGGACAGGAUCCUACCUGGUCAUCUAUAGUACCCCAACAGUGGUCAGUCUACAGAAUCCUCCCCACUGGAUUCAUCGCUCCAGGAUAAAACUAUGCCCAUCUGACGACCAGCCUAGCUCCUCCACCUCCUCCUGGAAGUCACAAGUACUCUCUCCUACUUCCCUUAAACUUACCCGCAUUCCUGAAAAAGAACAAUAAACCUGUAUACCUUUUAUUUACAGUAGACCUUUACACAGUCACCCCACUAUUUAAACUCUGUCUACUUAUGCCCCUAAUCACCAUUCUCACCUACUUCUAAAUGCCCUGCUUUUGUCUAUACUGCCAGUUCACGCUUUUCCUCCAGACCAUUGUAGCUGAUACCUCAUGGAGUCACCCUCCAGCUGCUACCCUUAACUCUCUCUUAGAGUGGAUAGAUGACCUUCUGUGGCAAAGUACUCUCCAAUUCUUCCAUCCUGAUGAAGUUCUUUUCUUUUAUACUUACUCUUUGUCUUACUCCCGUUCUCCUGCCACCCUCUAUCCCUCCCUAAUUAUCUCCAGAAUACCAUCAACCUCACCCACUCCCUCUUCACCAUCUCCAAUCCUUCCUAUGCAUUUCCCUCUCUUCCUCCUACUAUACAGGUGUCCCUGCCCUGCCAGCCCACUGGGCAACUUCCCCCAUCUCCCUAUACCUCCAAACCUCUUUCAGUGACCCCCAACUUUACCCUCCUGAACAACUUCUUUACUUCCUAGAAAAAUUCAGCAAAAACUCCCCUGAUACCUCAUACCAACAAGCUGCUGCUCUCCUCCAUACCUACCUACGAAAUCUAUCUCCCUACGUCACUUCCACACCUCCUGUUCUUGGACCCCUCACUAUACAAACAACUAUCCCCAUUGCUGCCCCCUUAUGCAUCUCCCUACAAUUACCUGCUGGAAUUCCCUUGGGUUACCUCCCAUCUUCCUUAUGUUCCUUUACUCUUUACCUCCAAGGCCCUGCCACCCACAUUAACCAAAAUAUUGGAGCAUUCCAGCUUCGUAUUACAGAAAAGCCCUCCCUCAUCACUAACACUCUUAAAAACAUCAGUAGCAACUUUUGCCUAGGAAGACAUUUACCCUGGCUCUCACUCCAUCCUUGGCUAUCCUUCCCCUGUUCAAUGGAUUCCCCUCCAAGGCCUUCUGCCUGCCUGUUUAUACCUAGUCUUAUAAAUAACAGUGAAUGGCUACUUACAGAUACCAAAUUCUUUUUUUCACACCAUUAAAACAGAACCUCUCCCUCUACACAGUUAUCCUACCAAACCCCACUACAACCUCUAAUAGCCGCUGCCCUUGCUGGAUCCCUAGGGCUCUGGGUGCAGGACUCUGCUUCCAGAACACACUCUCAUUUUUUUUACUCUCCACUUCCAGUUAUGCCUGCCUCAUGGACUCUUUUUGUUUCUGUUGGUUUUUCCGCAUACAUGUGCCUCCCUGCCAAUUGGACAGGCACCUUCACUUUAAUCUUCCUUACUCCCAAGAUCGAGUUUACAAAUGGAAACAAACAACUCCCCAUUCCCCUCAUAACUCCAACAUGACAAAAAAAAAAAAAAAAAAAAA